GUAGACAUGGCACACGCUCGGAAUAACCCAGCGUCUAAGGUGGGUGUAGACAUGGCACACGCUCGGAAUAACCCAGCGUCUAAGGUGGGUGUAGACAUGGCACACGCUCGGAAUAACCCAGCGUCUAAGGUGGGUGUAGACAUGGCACACGCUCGGAAUAACCCAGCGUCUAAGGUGGGUGUAGACAUGGCACACGCUCGGAAUAACCCAGCGUCUAAGGUGAGAAAUACUAGCAUUUCCAUUUUUAUCUCAUUCCUUAGAAAAAAUACUCUCAUGUGUUUUGUGAUGUACACAUUACAUAGCUACAUAUGUAUCAGUUAUGAAUAAAUAUGCAUGUAUUGUGGUGUGCUCAAACAUUUUUUAAUGAUGUAUACCAUCAAAAAAUUUGGAGACUAAUUUGGAGAAUGCUUUAAACAAUGUGUAAGCACUUUUAUUGUAAGAGAGCAGAGGGAAACUGAAUCACAGAACCUCCAUUUUAAGCUGUAAGCUGACAUUUCUCUCCCCAUACUGUGACAGGCAAAGCACUGGCAUGUGUCAAAGGCCGGGGCAGUCCGAUUCUGCUGCCCCAAACUUUGGAUCUAGAGGGAGGGACAGUCCUGGAGAUACACGGAUCAUUCAGUGAUGGGAAGAGCCCAGGAAAGGCUGUGCCUAGGGCUGUGCCCAACACUUCUUCCGGGGCUUUCUCAUGACAUCCGUGAGCCACGCCAUACCCUCCCCGUGAACGCCUUUCCUGCUUAUGUUGGCAGAGUCUAUUUCUAUUCUUUGCAACUAGCGCAGUACUUUACUGAUGCAGGAACUAGUGUUAGUUGUAGGCAACAGAUACUCAGGAAAAUCGGUGGGAUGAAAGGCAGGAAUGGUCAUCUGACUUCACUAAGGAUGAGGGUCGUGAAAAUCCCAUGAGUGCUGAGAGUAGUCCAGGGCAGCCUGUGACAGUUAACAGAAAAUCAGGUAAUUUUCUUACUGAAAAGUGGCCAUGGAAUGGCACGCCCAUGGAAGGCUUGGGAGACCAAGUUGCAACCACAGAACCAUAAAAAGGACCCGAGUGAAGUAGCUGCUUCUCUGGACAAUUUGAAGAUAAUGACACAUUGUCAGGUCAAGUCAUGAAAACAAUGCAAGCUUUUACACAAUUACUCCACAGCCUCAUCAGGUCUCUUCUAUGAAAAUUGGGACACUGACCAAGAAAGAGUGGGGCCUUCAGAAACAUGAGUUCAUGGGAGGACUCGGCGGACAGGGAGAGCCCUGUCUACUGCCCUCAUUGUGGCUUCCCGGUCAGCUACCGCAGUCCCUACGGGAUGCAGCCGUUCCUCCCUUAUUUUAACAGGUUGUAACCCAGUUGUCUGGAAGUCACCUUGCAAGAUGAAGCCACUUCUUGUGCCUUCUCACACAUCCCUUUUUGCCUUUAAAUCCACUUAAUUAGGAGCCUGCCAUUCCACGAGCUGGGGGAAAUCAUUAAACCAGUAUCAAGUCCAGAAAGAGAGUUCUUAGAGAAUUGUGGGACUGGAGGCAUUUGAUAAGAGUAAAGGUUAUAAUCUAGAAUGAGGAUACCUGUCAUCAAUCUUUACCAACCAGAUAAUAGAACUGUAAGGUACAUGACUGAAAAAGAAACUGAAAACCUAAAACAGAAAAAAUGAGACUGCGGUUGUACUGGCCUGUAUUUCCAUCCAGUUCAUCUGCCCACUAUGAGUGUGACCCCAGGCAAAUGUCUGCAGCUUUCUGAGUGGCGUUCCUUAUCUGUAAAAUACAGGUGUGUAUUUUCUGCUUUGCAAGGUGGUCCUGGGGGUGACUGUGGGACCACAGAGCACUCGACCCUCCACACCACACCCCAGGCCCCUCUCACCACCCCUGCUUCCAAGUCUUUGAUGAGACUCCACAGUAAAGACUAAAAAGAAAAGAAAAAGUAAAUCACUCUUCAGACUGAAGGAAAGCUAGGCUAGAGAGGUGGCGAGGAGGAAGUGAGCAGGAGGAGACGGACGACGCUCCACUUGUCACUUAGUUCUCUGAUUCUACUGUGAAGUCCACACAGAACAACUGUGGAUGACUUCAAGAUGCUGUAAAAGAAAAGCUGCAGAAUCACUAUAACUAGCUACAGCAGUAACAAAUGUGCUUGGUUCUGAAGUGUCAGUGUUUGUAAGUAGCAUCGUUCCUCCAAUAACAGCUUUUCAAAGGGAAAGGAAAGCAAAGGAGAAAAUAUUAGAACAGCCACAAAACGGUUUCAGUAAGUGAUAAAACCUCAGUUCUCAGAUCCAUAGCCCACAGGUGACUCUCCAUCUCCUCACGCUCAGACAUGAUAGAUUCUCCUACAUCACUCUGGUCCUCUACAGCCACUCACAACAUCAGGGCCGCCCUGCUGUUCUUAAUCCAGGCUCAUGAACUUGACUUCUGUAGCACUUUUAGAAGUAACAGCAGAACACCAUAUCCAAGAAUAAUGAGGUUUUGUCUGAAGUUCCUAUUUGAUUAUAGUUAACCUUGGAAAAAAAAGUUUCCGAAUUAAAGAACACAGAAUUGGAAAUUGAAUAACUUCUCUUGAAAAGCUAAGUUUAUUGCCUAAUAUUCCUUCAAGACAUAUGGCUCAAUCACCAAGUUUUGAAAUUUUGUCUAUUUGUUAGUUUUAGGAACUUCUAUUUUCUACAAUGCAACAGGUAAUUUGCAUACACACUACUUUUGCUUCAGUGAUAUUUGCAGCAAUAAUUUUUACCUAAACAAUAUUCAAAAACCAAGAAAACAAAAAAUACUCCAAAAAGGUCUUUGUAUUAUUUCUUCUUUCAAACCACAAUCCAAAGGGAUGCUUUUCAAACUGAAGUUUGCCAUCUAUUAGGAGGCCACAAGAUAACUUAGUGUCUGUCUAGUAUUUUUAAAAAUAACUAAAACAGAAGGUGCCAGCAUGCACACUUAGGAAAAAUGGGUACUGUCUUGUUAAUUUUUGCUUAUAUGUAUCUGAGAGAGAGAGAGAGAGAGUGUAUGUGUGUGAUGGGUUAUCUCUUACUGUGGUCAAAGAGUUGAAAGCCACUGACGAGUAGGUCUCUGUCUGCCAGUAAAUUAACCAGACGCUAACAGCAUUUAUUCUUCCAAGAACUCUGGGAUAACUGUCCAGACCACAAGUAGGUGCUGUUCAGUCCUUUUAUGGAAAAAAUUAGAGAAAUCAAACAAGUCUCAAUAAUUCAAGUAAUUAAAUAAAAUACAUGCUAUCAAUUAUUGAUGCUACAUUUUGGGUUAUAAGAAAUUGAUCUACCAAUACUGCACAACAGGGAAAGAAAAUAUCCAUUUCUUCCUUAAUUCAGCAUUCAUCAGAAUUAUUACUGCCCUGUAUAAAACUGAAAUGGAAUUAGCCUACAAAUUCCCUUAAGUUUGAGCCAUGAUGGUAUUUAAGAUGGAAAAAACAAAAGUAUAAGCCCCACAUAUAAAUGCUUAUAAACCCAGUAUGAAAUCACUUUUUGUAAAACUUUAAUUUCUAAGACAUUUUAAAGUCACACUAAAAGUAUCUCAUCGAAACAAAAGAGUAACAAUGUGUAAACAAAACAAUCUGUAAACAAAAAUGUUUACUAGUUUACUAGUGUGUCCAAACGUUACUUUUAAAAGUUAACAUUAUACCAGUUUUUUCAAGUUUAAAAAGUAGGUGCCGCAUCUAUGUUCACAUU
Molecule: long non-coding RNA, 3635 nt
Organism: Cercocebus atys (sooty mangabey)
Lineage: Eukaryota; Metazoa; Chordata; Mammalia; Primates; Cercopithecidae
Exons: 2
Source: RefSeq, a predicted model, not a curated record